RNAcentral lists this transfer RNA (87 nucleotides) under Streptomyces xanthophaeus. Its description in RNAcentral is "tRNA-Ala". Lineage: Bacteria; Bacillati; Actinomycetota; Actinomycetes; Kitasatosporales; Streptomycetaceae. The record is from RNAcentral.
GGGCGCGUGGCCGGGGCGCGGCGGCGGUACGGGCCCCUGCGCGGCCUGUGGGACCGCGGCGGGCGGUACGGGCCCGGACGCGCCCGC